Molecule: transfer RNA, 75 nt
Filed under: Sporomusa acidovorans
Lineage: Bacteria; Bacillati; Bacillota; Negativicutes; Selenomonadales; Sporomusaceae
Also listed under: 1 other name
Description: tRNA_Cys_GCA
Rfam family: tRNA
About the family: Transfer RNA (tRNA) molecules are approximately 80 nucleotides in length.
Source: RNAcentral
GGCGAUAUGGCCAAGUGGUAAGGCUAAGGUCCGCAAGACCUUGAUCCCCUAGUUCGAAUCUGGGUGUCGCCUCCA